CCAUCGGUGGUUUAGUGGUAGAAUGCUCGCCUGACAUGCGGGCGGCCCGGGUUCGAAUCCCGACUGAUGCA
This 71-nucleotide transfer RNA is filed under the name Cordylochernes scorpioides. Its description in RNAcentral is "tRNA-Val". It matches the Rfam family "tRNA". Rfam says of the family: Transfer RNA (tRNA) molecules are approximately 80 nucleotides in length. Their secondary structure includes four short double-helical elements and three loops (D, anti-codon, and T loops). Further hydrogen bonds mediate the characteristic L-shaped molecular structure. tRNAs have two regions of fundamental functional importance: the anti-codon, which is responsible for specific mRNA codon recognition, and the 3' end, to which the tRNAs corresponding amino acid is attached (by aminoacyl-tRNA synthetases). tRNAs cope with the degeneracy of the genetic code in two manners: having more than one tRNA (with a specific anti-codon) for a particular amino acid; and 'wobble' base-pairing, i.e. permitting non-standard base-pairing at the 3rd anti-codon position. Lineage: Eukaryota; Metazoa; Arthropoda; Arachnida; Pseudoscorpiones; Chernetidae. The record is from RNAcentral.